RNAcentral lists this ribosomal RNA (497 nucleotides) under uncultured bacterium. RNAcentral's name for it is "partial 16S ribosomal RNA". It matches the Rfam family "Bacterial small subunit ribosomal RNA", at positions 28 to 507 of the family's 1533-position model. The record is from RNAcentral.
GAUGAACGCUGGCGGCGUGCCUAAUACAUGCAAGUCGAGCGAACAGACGAGGAGCUUGCUCCUCUGACGUUAGCGGCGGACGGGUGAGUAACACGUGGAUAACCUACCUAUAAGACUGGGAUAACUUCGGGAAACCGGAGCUAAUACCGGAUAACAUGUUGAACCGCAUGGUUCAACAGUGAAAGACGGUUUUGCUGUCACUUAUAGAUGGAUCCGCGCCGCAUUAGCUAGUUGGUAAGGUAACGGCUUACCAAGGCAACGAUGCGUAGCCGACCUGAGAGGAUGAUCGGCCACACUGGAACUGAGACACGGUCCAGACUCCUACGGGAGGCAGCAGUAGGGAAUCUUCCGCAAUGGGCGAAAGCCUGACGGAGCAACGCCGCGUGAGUGAAGAAGGUCUUCGGAUCGUAAAACUCUGUUAUUAGGGAAGAACAAAUGUGUAAGUAACUAUGCACGUCUUGACGGUACCUAAUCAGAAAGCCACGGCUAACUACGUG